AUGGGGGAGAGGCUACACAGGGGAGAGGCCGCACGCUGGGGAGAUGGUCCCUGCGGGAAGACUCCGAGGCAGUCUCCUGCAGCUCCUUCCGGCGAAUCCGGUUCAGGAAGUAAAACCAGCCCUGUGUAGAGCCAUGCCAGGCAGGAAAAUGGGCACCUCUAGUGACCCAGGCUGGCUGAGAGCCUGCAGGGAAGAGCCUUUGGAACGUGAGCCACUGUGGGCUGGCAGGACUGCAACUGGCGUCUCCAUCUACUGGUACCGAGGCGAGGAGGAAAAAGCAGGGGGGCCCGGAGACGGCCCCUCUAAGUCUGUAACUCCAGAGCUGCUGCUCAGUCCCCAGAACGUCACCUCCGAGCAGAGCCUGUGACAACUGUCAACUGUGAAGCUGUGGCGUGGGUUGCUACUGAAGCUCUGAAGUCAGCGAGGACACAGCAUGUUUGUUCUAGACCGUUUGGCUGCGGGAGGAAGCUGUACAUGCACACACUCGCCUCACCACCCUGCGAGUCCACAGGCCCCUCCCCGGAGUCACCUCCAGGUAAAGGGGGCCCUGCGU
This 553-nucleotide long non-coding RNA is filed under the name Homo sapiens (human). RNAcentral describes it as "non-protein coding AATBC:13". The record is from RNAcentral. Lineage: Eukaryota; Metazoa; Chordata; Mammalia; Primates; Hominidae.